AUGGCUCAGGAUGAACGCUAGCGACAGGCUUAACACAUGCAAGUCGAGGGGCAGCAUAAAAGUAGCAAUACUUGGUGGCGACCGGCGCACGGGUGAGUAACGCGUAUGCAACCUACCUAUCAGAGGGGAAUAACCCGGCGAAAGUCGGACUAAUACCGCAUAAAACAGGGGCACCGCAUGGUGAUAUUUGUUAAAGAAAUUCGCUGAUAGAUGGGCAUGCGUUCCAUUAGGUAGUUGGUGAGGUAACGGCUCACCAAGCCGACGAUGGAUAGGGGAACUGAGAGGUUGGUCCCCCACACUGGUACUGAGACACGGACCAGACUCCUACGGGAGGCAGCAGUGAGGAAUAUUGGUCAAUGGGCGAGAGGCCUGAACCAGCCAAGUCGCGUGAAGGAAGAAGGAUCUAUGGUUCGUAAACUUCUUUUGCAGGGGAAUAAAGUGCAGGACGUGUCCUGUUUUGUAUGUACCCUGAGAAUAAGGAUCGGCUAACUCCGUGCCAGCAGCCGC
Molecule: ribosomal RNA, 507 nt
Filed under: uncultured bacterium
Lineage: Bacteria
Description: bacterial SSU rRNA
Rfam family: Bacterial small subunit ribosomal RNA
Source: RNAcentral